Gossypium arboreum is the source of this 107-nucleotide small nucleolar RNA. It matches the Rfam family "Plant small nucleolar RNA R71". Rfam says of the family: R71 is a member of the C/D box family of snoRNAs containing the C (UGAUGA) and D (CUGA) box motifs. Multiple nearly identical copies of this snoRNA have been identified in Arabidopsis, and it is thought to function as a 2'-O-ribose methylation guide for 18S ribosomal RNA. The record is from Rfam. NCBI's taxonomy places the organism in Eukaryota, Viridiplantae, Streptophyta, Magnoliopsida, Malvales, Malvaceae.
AACCCAUAGUGAGGGCACCUUCUCAAUAGACCCUUGUAUCUCUCCCAGGCAUCAUAGAGUGUUUCUAAAUCCAUUUGCACAAAAGAAGAAAUAUCAUUCCUUAAUUU